Molecule: ribosomal RNA, 751 nt
Filed under: Bacillus sonorensis
Lineage: Bacteria; Bacillati; Bacillota; Bacilli; Caryophanales; Bacillaceae
Description: bacterial SSU rRNA
Rfam family: Bacterial small subunit ribosomal RNA
Source: RNAcentral
UGCAGUCGAGCGGACCGACGGGAGCUUGCUCCCUUAGGUCAGCGGCGGACGGGUGAGUAACACGUGGGUAACCUGCCUGUAAGACUGGGAUAACUCCGGGAAACCGGGGCUAAUACCGGAUGCUUGAUUGAACCGCAUGGUUCAAUUAUAAAAGGUGGCUUUUAGCUACCACUUACAGAUGGACCCGCGGCGCAUUAGCUAGUUGGUGAGGUAACGGCUCACCAAGGCAACGAUGCGUAGCCGACCUGAGAGGGUGAUCGGCCACACUGGGACUGAGACACGGCCCAGACUCCUACGGGAGGCAGCAGUAGGGAAUCUUCCGCAAUGGACGAAAGUCUGACGGAGCAACGCCGCGUGAGUGAUGAAGGUUUUCGGAUCGUAAAACUCUGUUGUUAGGGAAGAACAAGUACCGUUCGAAUAGGGCGGUACCUUGACGGUACCUAACCAGAAAGCCACGGCUAACUACGUGCCAGCAGCCGCGGUAAUACGUAGGUGGCAAGCGUUGUCCGGAAUUAUUGGGCGUAAAGCGCGCGCAGGCGGUUUCUUAAGUCUGAUGUGAAAGCCCCCGGCUCAACCGGGGAGGGUCAUUGGAAACUGGGGAACUUGAGUGCAGAAGAGGAGAGUGGAAUUCCACGUGUAGCGGUGAAAUGCGUAGAGAUGUGGAGGAACACCAGUGGCGAAGGCGACUCUCUGGUCUGUAACUGACGCUGAGGCGCGAAAGCGUGGGGAGCGAACAGGAUUAGAUACCCUG